Molecule: ribosomal RNA, 207 nt
Filed under: uncultured bacterium
Lineage: Bacteria
Description: partial 16S ribosomal RNA
Rfam family: Bacterial small subunit ribosomal RNA
Source: RNAcentral
CGCGUAGGCGGUUUUGUUAGUCAGGCGUGAAAGCCCCGGGCUCAACCCGGGAACUGCGUUUGAUACUGCAAGACUUGAGGACGGAAGAGGAAAGUGGAAUCCCUAGUGUAGAGGUGAAAUUCGUAGAUAUUAGGAGGAACACCAGAGGCGAAGGCGGCUUUCUGGUCCGUUACUGACGCUGAGGCGCGAAAGCGUGGGGAGCAAACA